CUGGGCUUGACAUCCGCUGACAGCUACGGAAACGUAGUUUUCCCCGCAAGGGGACAGCGAGACAGGUGCUGCAUGGCUGUCGUCAGCUCGUGUCGUGAGAUGUUGGGUUAAGUCCCGCAACGAGCGCAACCCUCAUCCUUAGUUGCCAUCAUUGAGUUGGGAACUCUAAGGAAACUGCCUCGGUUAACGGGGAGGAAGGUGGGGAUGACGUCAAGUCCUCAUGGCCUUUAUGUCCAGGGCUACACACGUGCUACAAUGGGCGGUACAAAGGGUUGCAAUCCCGCAAGGGGGAGCUAAUCUCAAAAAGCCGCUCUCAGUUCAGAUUGGAGUCUGCAACUCGACUCCAUGAAGGCGGAAUCGCUAGUAAUUGCGGAUCAGCAUGCCGCGGUGAAUACGUUCC
Molecule: ribosomal RNA, 400 nt
Filed under: uncultured bacterium
Lineage: Bacteria
Description: bacterial SSU rRNA
Rfam family: Bacterial small subunit ribosomal RNA
Source: RNAcentral